GUUCUAUCUCAUCUCAUGCCUAACUCCCUUGGGCCAAUUCCUGUAGUUGUCUAUGCUUAUACAUCGUUUGAUGAAAUAACUGACAAAGAUGUGAUUUAAUUAAUAAAUGGAAAAUAGCAUGGAUGUUGGACUAGCAGGAUUUGAAGACAAAAGUGUUCAUUCUAGUUAUUUUUUCUAACUUACUCAACUUUGUUCAAACGAUAUGUCAAUAAACUUCGAAGCAAGAGUACAGAUUUCAAAAAGAAGCAUCAGAUAAUAGCUGAACUUAAUGCUGAAUUCGGUCUUUUGCAGAGGACUGAAGAACUUCUUAAGCAACGUCAUGAAAAUAUUCAACAACAACUGCAAACUAUAGAGGAGAAAAAGGGUAUAUCUGGAUAUAGUUACACCCAAGAAGAGCUAGAAAGAGUAUCUGCACUGAAGAGUGAAGUUGAUGAAAUGAAAGGACGAACAUUGGAUGAUAUGUCUGAAAUGGUGAUGAUACUUU
This 484-nucleotide small RNA is filed under the name Pongo abelii (Sumatran orangutan). RNAcentral describes it as "processed transcript". The record is from RNAcentral. Lineage: Eukaryota; Metazoa; Chordata; Mammalia; Primates; Hominidae.